AAUAGAUACCCGGGUAGUCCUUGCCGUAAACGAUGUAUACUUGGUGUAACUGGACUCAACCCCGGUUGUGCCGUAGCUAACGCGUUAAGUAUACCGCCUGGGGAGUACGCACGCAAGUGUGAAACUCAAAAGAAUUGACGGGGACCCGCACAAGCAGUGGAGCAUGUGGUUUAAUUCGAUGCAACGCGAAGAACCUUACCCAGACUUGACAUACAGUAGACCGCCUCAGAAAUGAGGCUUUCCUUCGGGACUGCUGAACAGGUGCUGCAUGGCUGUCGUCAGCUCGUGCCGUGAGGUGUUGGGUUAAGUCCCGCAACGAGCGCAACCCUUAUCAUUAGUUGCCAACAGCUCGGCUGGGAACUCUAGUGAGACUGCCCGGGUUAACCGGGAGGAAGGUGAGGAUGACGUCAAGUCCGCAUGGCCCUUAUGUCUGGGGCUACACACGUGCUACAAUGGGCGGUACAGAAAGCAGCGAAGCCGCGAGGUGAAGCAAAUCUCCAAAGCCGCCCCAGUUCAGAUUGUAGUCUGCAAC
RNAcentral lists this ribosomal RNA (532 nucleotides) under uncultured bacterium. RNAcentral's name for it is "bacterial SSU rRNA". It matches the Rfam family "Bacterial small subunit ribosomal RNA", at positions 777 to 1311 of the family's 1533-position model. The record is from RNAcentral.